This 467-nucleotide ribosomal RNA is filed under the name uncultured bacterium. Its description in RNAcentral is "partial 16S ribosomal RNA". It matches the Rfam family "Bacterial small subunit ribosomal RNA", at positions 28 to 507 of the family's 1533-position model. The record is from RNAcentral.
GAUGAACGCUGGCGGCGUGCUUAACACAUGCAAGUCGAACGGAAAGGCCCAAGCUUGCUUGGGUACUCGAGUGGCGAACGGGUGAGUAACACGUGGGUGAUCUGCCCUGCACUUCGGGAUAAGCCUGGGAAACUGGGUCUAAUACCGGAUAGGACCACUUCUUGGAUGUUGUGGUGGAAAGUUUUGUGGGUGUGGGAUGAGCUCGCGGCCUAUCCGCUUGUUGGUGGGGUAAUGGCCUACCAAGGCGUCGCCGGGUAGCCGGCCUGUGGGGGUGUACGGCCACAUUGAGACUGAGGGACGGCCCAGACUCCGACGGGAGGCAGCAGGGGGGAAUAUUGAACAAGGGGCGCAAGCCUGAUGAAGCGGCGCCGCGUGGGGGAUGACGGCCUUCGGGUUGUAAAAUAAUUUCGCUAGGGACGAAGCGUUUUGUGACGGUACCUGGAGAAGAAGCACCGGCUAACUACGUG